Molecule: ribosomal RNA, 511 nt
Filed under: uncultured Glomus
Lineage: Eukaryota; Fungi; Glomeromycota; Glomeromycetes; Glomerales; Glomeraceae
Description: SSU rRNA
Rfam family: Eukaryotic small subunit ribosomal RNA
Source: RNAcentral
AGCAGCCGCGGUAAUUCCAGCUCCAAUAGCGUAUAUUAAAGUUGCUGCAGUUAAAAGCUCGUAGUUGAAUUUCGGGACUAAUAUGUCGGUCGUGCCUCGGUACGUACUGGCUUAUUGGUUUCUCCUUUCUGAAGAACCAUGAUGUCAUUUAUUUGGUGUCGUGGGGAAUCAGGACUGUUACUUUGAAAAAUUAGAGUGUUUAAAGCAGGCUCACGCUUGAAUACAUUAGCAUGGAAUAAUGAAAUAGGACGUUUGAUUCUAUUUUGUUGGUUCUAGGAUCGACGUAAUGAUUAAUAGGGAUAGUUGGGGCAUUAGUAUUCAAUUGUCAGAGGUGAAAUUCUUGGAUUUUAUUGAAGACUAACUACUGCGAAAGCAUUUUGCCAAGGAUGUUUUCAUUAAUCAAGAACGAAAGUUUAGGGGAUCGAAGACGAUCAGAUACCGUCGUAGUCUUAAACCAUAAAACUAUGCCGACUAGGAUCGGAUGAUGUAAUUUUAAAUGACUCAUUCGGCG